UUAAAAGGCGUAUUUUAUUAAUCAUUUCAACCGAAAUUUCGGCAGGGAGGAUACUUUGAAGUACCUCAUGUCAGAUUUCGAAGGGACUUUUUAUUUUCUUUUUUUUAGGUUAGUUUGUUUAUUAUUUUUUUAUUUUAUUUUUUUAAAAAAAAAAACAAAGAAGUGAAAGUCACGUGAGUGACUUCCUUCCUUUUCUUUUCUUUUCUUUUUUAUUUUUAUUUAUUUAUUUUAUGCAUUUUGUUUUUAUUUUAUUUAUUUAUUUAUUUAUUUGUUAAAAUCUUUUUCUCCAAGUCUCAGCUGCAGGGGCAUUUUGGUCAUUAAUAUGUACCAGAGCCAACCCUAGUUUGUCUCUAUAAAUACACUGUCAAUCAUUGGGAAAUGGGUCCGAAAAUCACUGUUCACGUCAGAAAAUCAGCAGCAAUUCACAAACCCUAAUUUUCCACUUUUCCAACCCUUUUUCAAAUCAAGCCCAAAAAUUACAAAGAAAAGAGUAUGAGUUUAGGAAGAACAUUCAUAGGUUCAUAGGAAAAUCCAGUAACACCAAAACUUUACUAAAACCUCAAAACUAUUCAUAUAACCACACAAAUCACAAACAAGCAAACCGAACCAGAACAGCAAGCAGGCCGAACCGGAGCAGAAGCGAACCGGACCAGCAAGGGGGCCGAACCGGAAGGAAAGCGGAACCGGACCGGAAAAGGGAGCAGAAACGAACCGGAAGGAAGGAAGGGGACCAGAAAAAGAGGUAAAAAUUUCACAUUUUCAUUUGUAGAUCUAGGAUUUUUGGUGCAUGUUUUCGAAAUUUUGAGCUUGGAUUCGAGUAGAGGAAGGGAAGAGGAGUAUUUUGAUGUAAAAAAAUUUCAAAAAAAAGGCAAAAAAAACUCCGGCGCGGCGGCGCUCCGGCCGACCACCGCGCCGGAGCAGCUCCGGCCGCCCCUCUUCAUCUUCUCCGGUCGCGUGUUUCUUUGAAGGAGGGGAGAGCUUCUCUCUCUAAGUUUAACUUAGAGAGAGAAGUGUUUUAGUUUUAUGUUAUUUUUUUGUUAAAAUUGCUUUUAUAGUGCUUUCUUUUUUUGCUGGAUCAUACGUGCGCGUAUUCAUAAUCUUACGAUGUUCCAUCGCGUUAGUAGCCAUCAGAUCUGGAUCGUUCCUUGAUCUGACGGCUACCGUAUGAUCUGUUUUUAAAUCAAGUGUGUGUUUUUUCUGCGUGAGUGUGGUGUGG
This 1216-nucleotide long non-coding RNA is filed under the name Medicago truncatula (barrel medic). RNAcentral describes it as "long non-coding RNA (MTRU_LNC005590)". The record is from RNAcentral. Lineage: Eukaryota; Viridiplantae; Streptophyta; Magnoliopsida; Fabales; Fabaceae.